Molecule: small nuclear RNA, 98 nt
Filed under: Mus spretus (western wild mouse)
Lineage: Eukaryota; Metazoa; Chordata; Mammalia; Rodentia; Muridae
Source: RNAcentral
GCACUUCUUUAGUACAUAUCGUAAAAUGAAUGAAACACAGAUCAGCAUGGCCCCUGCACCAGGCAGACAUCCAAAUUCACAAAAUGCUUCAUUACGCU